This 87-nucleotide transfer RNA is filed under the name Agrocybe pediades. It matches the Rfam family "tRNA". From Rfam's summary of the family: Transfer RNA (tRNA) molecules are approximately 80 nucleotides in length. Their secondary structure includes four short double-helical elements and three loops (D, anti-codon, and T loops). Lineage: Eukaryota; Fungi; Basidiomycota; Agaricomycetes; Agaricales; Agrocybaceae. The record is from Rfam by way of RNAcentral.
GGUCCAAUGGUCUAGUGGUUAUGAUUUCUGUCUUACAUUUCAUGUAUCGCGCACAGAAGGUCUCCAGUUCGAACCUGGAUUGGACCA